AGGGAGCAAACGACAAUCGACCAAUGACGAGAGUCAUCAACAUGAUUUUUAGAUGAUCAAGAGACUGAGGAGCAAACUCCAAAGAAGAGUCAUUAAAAAAAUAAUGACAUGAUAAUAUAAUCUCUAUUUUGAAUGAUGAUGUUUGAAAAGUAUAAAUUCCUCAUGAUGAUACUGUCGUCGUCUCGAUGAUGAUAGUAAAUUAUGAUGUAAAAAAAAUUCUUAUAGAUAAUGAAA
Molecule: long non-coding RNA, 234 nt
Filed under: Elaeis guineensis (African oil palm)
Lineage: Eukaryota; Viridiplantae; Streptophyta; Magnoliopsida; Arecales; Arecaceae
Description: long non-coding RNA (EGUI_LNC027384)
Source: RNAcentral